AUUGAACGCUGGCGGCAUGCCUUACACAUGCAAGUCGAACGGCAGCACGGGAGCAAUCCUGGUGGCGAGUGGCGAACGGGUGAGUAAUAUAUCGGAACGUGCCCAGUAGUGGGGGAUAGCCCGGCGAAAGCCGGAUUAAUACCGCAUGAGACCUGAGGGUGAAAGCGGGGGAUCGCAAGACCUCGCGCUAUUGGAGCGGCCGAUAUCAGAUUAGCUAGUUGGUGGGGUAAAGGCCUACCAAGGCAACGAUCUGUAGUUGGUCUGAGAGGACGACCAGCCACACUGGGACUGAGACACGGCCCAGACUCCUACGGGAGGCAGCAGUGGGGAAUUUUGGACAAUGGGCGCAAGCCUGAUCCAGCAAUGCCGCGUGCGGGAAGAAGGCCUCGGUUGUAACUGCUUUGUCAGGGAGAAAUCUUCUGGCUAAUAUCCCGGGAGGAUGACGGUACCUGAAGAAUAAGCACCGGCUAACUACGUGCCAGCAGCC
Molecule: ribosomal RNA, 487 nt
Filed under: uncultured bacterium
Lineage: Bacteria
Description: bacterial SSU rRNA
Rfam family: Bacterial small subunit ribosomal RNA
Source: RNAcentral